This 1002-nucleotide unclassified non-coding RNA is filed under the name Hevea brasiliensis (rubber tree). The record is from RNAcentral. Lineage: Eukaryota; Viridiplantae; Streptophyta; Magnoliopsida; Malpighiales; Euphorbiaceae.
CUUGAGCACCUUCGAUCUUCAUGAAGUUCGAAUUUUCGCACGCCUGCUGCCAUUCAUAUUUUUACACCUAUUUAAGGUAUAACGUUUCUGUAUAUCAGUGUAUACAGGCUGUAUAUCAGCCUGUUUUUCAACUUUCGAGAGUUGAAAAAUUCUUUUCAGCAGCUUACUUUACUGCCAUCAACCCAGGUUUCGAACUAGGCCUCCUGUACAUCUUUUGAUAUGUAUAUCACGGUAUAAACUGUGUAUAUGGUUGGUAUACAGCUUCUCAAUAUAUGCCACUGUAAUUUCCAGCAAUUUUCCAAGUUCUGGUGAACCAGAAUCAAUCUCCAGCAGUGCAUUUUCUGCUGUUCUUCCGACCUGUACACCUUUGAGAGGGUUCUAUGACUCGAAGAAGACAUUCUGAGCCUUUAUGGCUCGAUGAGGAAGUGUAGUGAGAUGGAAUAAAGUCCAUGAGGACUCGAGGAGGGUUUCACAUGCAAUAAAACAUACAAAAGAUUAGCACUUAAAGCGAUAAACUAAUAGAAAGUGUCUUGAACAAGACGAAGAUAAAAGAUGAACUACUUGGAGAAAUGAGUUAGAGGGGGAUAAAUGACUUCAAAAAUAAUUCCGAAUGAUAUUAAGAAAUAAAAUUUCACAACCAAUAGGAUAAAUAACAGGGGCAAGCAAUGCAUGUACACAUAUUAAUGAAUUUGUCAUACGCAUGGGAGUACACCAUUGCUAAUUGUCAAAUAUGCACAGUAAGCAUGCCAUACUCUGUUAAUCAAAGCAUAUCAAUUGGCAAGACCUAUUGAUGCCAAAUGCAAAAAAGAACUUAUUUCCAAACUACCAUGUUACACAUCACUCCACCUAAAAGACAAUUUAACAAUGCCGAGACACAAACAAUUGAUCAAGGAAAAAUAAAAAAAAAACUUGAAAUGGGAGACAGAACAUAGCUGAAACAGAGUAACCAACACAAUCACAACCAUACCAAUUUUAACUACAUGUUCUGAAUAAGCAGACAGC